This 213-nucleotide unclassified non-coding RNA is filed under the name plant metagenome. RNAcentral's name for it is "partial contains small subunit ribosomal RNA, internal transcribed spacer 1, and 5.8S ribosomal RNA". The record is from RNAcentral.
UUUCCGUAGGUGAACCUGCGGAAGGAUCAUUAAUAAUUUGGGGUCUCUCUGACUUUACUAAAUACCUAUCUGCCUUUUGUUCAAUGGCCGGGUCGAUGUUUCUGUCGUCACGGUCAGCCCCAGGCAUCAACCACAUCUCAACUGUCUGUCUUAAAAGUAUUAUGAAUAAAACAAUUCAAAACACAACUUUCAACAACGGAUCUCUUGGCUCUC